GUAGGUGGCAAGCGUUGUCCGGAAUUAUUGGGCGUAAAGCGCGCGCAGGUGGCUCUUUAAGUCUGAUGUGAAAGCCCCCGGCUCAACCGGGGAGGGUCAUUGGAAACUGGGGAACUUGAGUGCAGGAGAGGAAAGUGGAAUUCCACGUGUAGCGGUGAAAUGCGUAGAUAUGUGGAGGAACACCAGUGGCGAAGGCGACUUUCUGGCCUGUAACUGACACUGAGGCGCGAAAGCGUGGGGAGCAAACAGGGAUUAGAUACCCUGGUAGUCCACGCCGUAAACGAUGAGUGCUAAGUGUUGGGGGGGUUUCCCGCCCCUCAGUGCUGCAGCUAACGCAUUAAGCACUCCGCCUGGGGAGCACGGUCGCAAGACUG
This 374-nucleotide ribosomal RNA is filed under the name uncultured organism. RNAcentral describes it as "partial 16S ribosomal RNA". It matches the Rfam family "Bacterial small subunit ribosomal RNA", at positions 527 to 896 of the family's 1533-position model. The record is from RNAcentral.